RNAcentral lists this unclassified non-coding RNA (248 nucleotides) under Glomeraceae sp. Its description in RNAcentral is "partial contains 5.8S ribosomal RNA and internal transcribed spacer 2". The stretch from base 1 to 71 matches the Rfam family "5.8S ribosomal RNA", at positions 84 to 154 of the family's 154-position model. The record is from RNAcentral. Lineage: Eukaryota; Fungi; Glomeromycota; Glomeromycetes; Glomerales; Glomeraceae.
GUGAAUCAUCAAAUCUUUGAACGCAAAUUGUGCUUCCUGGCAUCCCGGGAAGUAUGCCUGUUUGAGGGUCAGUAUUAAUAAAAAAUCGGUUUGGUUACAAAUUGUGACGUUUCCGGAGUUUGGGCUAUCUUAACAUUUUUGGUUAGAGGCUUAAAAUUGAACUUUUUUUCGCAUUUUUUGACGUAAAUAAAUUUUUUUUUAUUCGUCUAUUCUUUAUUCCAAGGUCUUAUUAGAUGCGGUUACAUCGG